GAUGAACGCUGACUAAAUGCUUAACACAUGCAAGUCUACUUGAACUUCGGUUUGGGUGGGCUACCGGUGACUAACACCUAAACAACUUGCCUCACAGUUAAGGACAACAUUUGCAAACUAAUGCAAAUACCUGAUAUUAUGAUAUUAGGGCAUCCUAUUAUUAUACAAAGCUAUAGUGCGCUGUGACAGAGCUUUGCUUCCCAUUAACUACUUGGAGACGUAACAGCUCACCAAGGCGAUGAUGGGUACCCUGCCUGACAAGGUGAACGGCCACUAGGAGACUGAGACACCGCCCUUACUCCUACAGGAGGCACCAAUGCCGAAUAUUGGACAAUGGACCAAAAAUCUGAUCCAGCAAUUCUGUGUGCACCAUGACGUUUUUCGGAAUGUAAAAUGCUUCCCCUUGGUAAGAAAAGCAUGACUGCACCAACAAAAAAAGUGACGGCUAACUACGUGCCAUCAACCGCAGUAAUACGGAUGUCACAAUCCUUAUCCAGAUUUAUUGGGCGUACAGCACGUCUAGGUGGUUAUGUAAUUCUGAUGUGAAAAUGCAAGGCUCAACUCUGUGUUGCGUUGGAAACUGCAUGACGAGAGUGCUGCAUACGAAACCGGAACUACAAGUGUAGAGGUGAAAUUCCUAGAUAUUUGUAGGAAUGCCGAUGGGGAAGCCAGCUUACUGGACAGAUACUGACGCUAAAGCUCGAAAGCUGUGGGUAUCAAACAGGAUUAGAUACCCUGGUAGUCCACGCCGUAAACGAUGAUUACUAGGUGUUGGGGGUCGAACAUCAGCUCCCAAGCUAACGCGAUAAGUAUUCCGCCUGGGGAGUACGUCCGCAACUAUGAAACUCAAAGGAAUUGACGGGGACCCGCACAAGCGGAGGAGCAUGUGGUUUAAUUCGACGCAACGCGAGGAACCUUACCAGCGUUUGACAUCUUAGGAAUGAGACAGAGAUGUUUCUUUGUCUCUUCGUUGAAACCUAAAGACAGGUGGUGCAUGGCUGUCUCUCAGCUCGUCUCGUGAGAUGUUGGGUUAAGUCCCGCAACGAGCCCACCCCCUUUCGUAUGUUCCCUUCAGUAAGUUGGGGCCUCAUGCGAUUCUGCCUGCGAUGAGCAGGAGGAAGGUGGGGAAGACGUCAAGUCAUCCUGCCCCUUAUACUCUGGGGUACCCCCGUGGUUCAAUGGGUAGUACCGAGAGUUGCAAACCCGCGAGGUGGAGCUAAUUUCAGAAAACCUAUUCUCAGUUCGGAUUGUAGUCUGCAACUCGAGUCCAUGAAGUUGGAAUCGCUAGUAAUCGCGAAUCAGCCAUGUCGCGGUGAAUACGUUCUCGGGUCU
Molecule: ribosomal RNA, 1332 nt
Filed under: uncultured bacterium
Lineage: Bacteria
Description: bacterial SSU rRNA
Rfam family: Bacterial small subunit ribosomal RNA
Source: RNAcentral